UACGGGAGGCAGCAGUGGGGAAGUAUUGCACAAUGGGCGAAAGCCUGAUGCAGCUAUGCCGCGUGUAUGAAGAAGGCCUUAGGGUUGUAAAGUACUUUCAUCGGGGAGGAAAAAACAAAACUAAUAAUUUUAUUUCUUGACGUUACCCGAAAAAGAAGCACCGGCUAACUCCGUGCCAGCAGCCGCGGUAAUACGGAGGGUGCUAGCGUUAAUCAGAAUUACUGGGCGUAAAGAGCACGUAGGUGGUUUUUUAAAGUCAGAUGUGAAAUCCCUGGGCUUUAACCUAGGAACUGCAUUUUGAAACUGAAAUACUAGAGUAUCGUAGAGGGAGGUAGAAUUCUAGGUGUAGCGGUGAAAUGCGUAGAUAUCUGGAGGAAUACCUGUGGCGAAAGCGGCCUCCUAAACGAAUACUGACACUGAGGGUGCGAAAGCGUGGGGAGCAAACAGGGAUUAGAUACC
RNAcentral lists this ribosomal RNA (459 nucleotides) under uncultured bacterium. RNAcentral describes it as "bacterial SSU rRNA". It matches the Rfam family "Bacterial small subunit ribosomal RNA", at positions 340 to 786 of the family's 1533-position model. The record is from RNAcentral.